Molecule: ribosomal RNA, 253 nt
Filed under: uncultured bacterium
Lineage: Bacteria
Description: partial 16S ribosomal RNA
Rfam family: Bacterial small subunit ribosomal RNA
Source: RNAcentral
UACAGAGGGUGCACGCGUUAAUCGGAAUUACUGGGCGUAAAGCGCGCGUAGGCGGCUGCUUAAGUCGGAUGUGAAAUCCCCGGGCUUAACCUGGGAACUGCAUUCGAUACUGAGCAGCUAGAGUAUGAGAGAGGGAGGUAGAAUUCCACGUGUAGCGGUGAAAUGCGUAGAUAUGUGGAGGAAUACCGGUGGCGAAGGCGGCCUCCUGGCUUAAUACUGACGCUGAGGUGCGAAAGCGUGGGGAGCAAACAGG